RNAcentral lists this ribosomal RNA (253 nucleotides) under uncultured bacterium. Its description in RNAcentral is "partial 16S ribosomal RNA". It matches the Rfam family "Bacterial small subunit ribosomal RNA", at positions 524 to 776 of the family's 1533-position model. The record is from RNAcentral.
UACGUAGGGUGCGAGCGUUGUCCGGAAUUAUUGGGCGUAAAGAGCUUGUAGGCGGUUUGUCGCGUCUGCUGUGAAAAUCCGGGGCUCAACCCCGGACUUGCAGUGGGUACGGGCAGACUAGAGUGUGGUAGGGGAGACUGGAAUUCCUGGUGUAGCGGUGAAAUGCGCAGAUAUCAGGAGGAACACCGGUGGCGAAGGCGGGUCUCUGGGCCGGUACUGACGCUGAGGAGCGAAAGCGUGGGGAGCGAACAGG